Molecule: ribosomal RNA, 429 nt
Filed under: uncultured bacterium
Lineage: Bacteria
Description: bacterial SSU rRNA
Rfam family: Bacterial small subunit ribosomal RNA
Source: RNAcentral
UGGGGAAUAUUGGACAAUGGGCGGAAGCCUGAUCCAGCAAUACCACGUGUGUGAAGAAGGCCUUAGGGUUGUAAAGCACUUUCAGAGGGGAGGAAGUGAGCUAGGUUAAGAGCUAGGUUUAUUGACGUUACCUUCAGAAGAAGCACCGGCUAACUCCGUGCCAGCAGCCGCGGUAAUACGGAGGGUGCGAGCGUUAAUCGGAAUUACUGGGCGUAAAGGGUUCGUAGGCGGUUAUAUAAGUCAGAUGUGAAAGCCCUGGGCUCAACCUAGGAACUGCACCUGAAACUGUAUAACUAGAGUAUAGUAGAGGAGAGGGGAAUUUCCGGUGUAGCGGUGAAAUGCGUAGAUAUCGGAAGGAACAUCAGUGGCGAAGGCGACUCUCUGGACUAAUACUGACGCUGAGGGACGAAAGCAUGGGUAGCAAACAGG